ACCUAUUUAGUAUAAUUAGUAUUAUUGACUUCCAAUCAAAAGGCCUGGACAUAUCCAGAAUAGGUA
This 66-nucleotide transfer RNA is filed under the name Togoperla limbata. RNAcentral describes it as "tRNA-Gly". Lineage: Eukaryota; Metazoa; Arthropoda; Insecta; Plecoptera; Perlidae. The record is from RNAcentral.